CGGCACUCUGGAUGGACUGCCGGCGACAAGCCGGAGGAAGGUGGGAUGACGUCAAGUCAUCAUGGCCCUUAUGUCCAGGGCGACACACGUGCUACAAUGGCCGGCACAGCGGGAAGCGAGGGGGCGACCUUGAGCGGAUCCCUCAAAGCCGGUCUCAGUUCGGAUUGCAGUCUGCAACUCGACUGCAUGAAGUUGGAAUCGCUAGUAAUCGUGGAUCAGCCAAGCCGCGGUGAAUACGUUCCCGGGCCUU
RNAcentral lists this ribosomal RNA (250 nucleotides) under uncultured Thermovirga sp. RNAcentral describes it as "partial 16S ribosomal RNA". It matches the Rfam family "Bacterial small subunit ribosomal RNA", at positions 1133 to 1382 of the family's 1533-position model. Lineage: Bacteria; Thermotogati; Synergistota; Synergistia; Synergistales; Thermovirgaceae. The record is from RNAcentral.